Molecule: ribosomal RNA, 253 nt
Filed under: uncultured bacterium
Lineage: Bacteria
Description: partial 16S ribosomal RNA
Rfam family: Bacterial small subunit ribosomal RNA
Source: RNAcentral
UACGGGGGGGGCAAGCGUUGUUCGGAAUUACUGGGCGUAAAGGGCUCGUAGGUGGCCAACUAAGUCAGACGUGAAAUCCCUCAGCUUAACUGGGGAACUGCGUCUGAUACUGGAUGGCUUGAGUUUGGGAGAGGGAUGCGGAAUUCCAGGUGUAGCGGUGAAAUGCGUAGAUAUCUGGAGGAACACCGGUGGCGAAGGCGGGAUCCUGGGCCAGUACUGACGCUGAGGAGCGAAAGCGUGGGGAGCAAACAGG